Long non-coding RNA from Onychomys torridus (southern grasshopper mouse), 571 nucleotides. RefSeq lists it as uncharacterized. The transcript has 3 exons. The record is from RefSeq and is a predicted model, not a curated record. NCBI's taxonomy places the organism in Eukaryota, Metazoa, Chordata, Mammalia, Rodentia, Cricetidae.
CUUCCGGGCGUUCCAGGAGCUAUAAAUAUGGCGGCGUCGGCGCGUCCCAGUCUCUUAAGCUGUGUCCCCCGAGCUGUGGUUCGUGCUUGAACUGACCAGUGAUUACAAGUAACUCUUAUGGUUGAGGAAAGAAGAGGACCUGCACAGCUACCUGCUGAAGGUUAACUUGAUGCUUGACUUUGGAGUCUUGUAACUAUAUGUAGUCUGGCAAAGUUUUGUCUGUUUUUAUGGGUUCAACCCAGAACUGUCAGUAAUAGGCAAGCAUUUCUUAGUCUGGUCAAUGUAUAUUGUAUAUGUUCAAGAGACCUUAUUGAUGUUUAGGUUUAAGGAACUUUAUUUGUGCCCCCUUUUGAGGUCCAUGUAGUGUGUGUGAAAGUAAUUUCCUAGGAUAUUUCCCCAGGGCCAUAUAAAACACAAAUGGCACUAGUUCAUGCCUAUAAUGACUGUAAGAUCACACUGAAUUCAAGACCAGACUGGGUUACAGAAUUUAAUUUCUAUUCCUGUAAAUAUGAUAUGCCUGAUGAAACUAAUGUUAAUAUUUAUGUGAAUUAAAGGAGAAAUUUUGACUCUG